GAAAGGACAGGCGUUGCCUUGGGACACGGCAUUGAAUUUGGUGAUGUGGCCGCAGUGCAGGUCUCCUGCCUCACGAAGAAGCAGUGGCUGGUCCUUAACCUUUGAAAACUCACUGGGUUUUGCACGAUGAUAUUAGCAAAGAGCAGAGCAGGAUGAGUGCCUUACCUUUAGGAAAAGUUCCUUGGGUUUUUAUCCACAUCAACUUGGACGUAUUCAGCUUAAAUACUUCUUCUCCUCUGCAGAUAGUGGUGGAGCAGAGUUUCCGAGUUAGGACAGGACUCUGUAUCCGUGACUGGAUGAGACAUGAUGCAGCUGCCUGCCCUUUGUCGACUGGAGUCCUGUUUUCCUUGCCUUAGAGGCACUCGGAAGUUUUUCCUCGCUGGACCUGACUGUCUCCUUUUCUUUUGAGACUUCGUGGGAGCUAAAUUUAAACUUGAUUAACAACAUUUAGUCCAAGGAGGGUCAGGAUACUAUUUUCAUGUUAAAUGCUGCUCUUUCGGCCCUCACAAUGAGAUCCCUUCUGAUUUUGUUGCUAUGGUGUGAGAGACAAAACAACAACAACAAAAAAAAAAAACAGCAUAAAACAUUUGAUUGGUUGAUUCUGAUCAGAGGUGGAAAAAGGGAUUAAUACCUCUUUUGUAAAAAUCUAUUGACAGCUCUAUUUGUAAAACCUCACAAAUACUCCUAGUAAUGAUAUUUUUACUCUUUACUAUUGAACUUCAACUUAAUAUUUAGGGCACAGCUUGGAGUCAGUUGCUCAAGGAAACUCCCAGACUCCAGAUCCCAUUCUACAACCACUAACUUAAUUUUUAGCAUUUUCCAAGGUGUGAUUAAAUCAUGAGACUGCAAGUUCCAUUAGUGGAGGCAUAGCAUCUCUUGUGCCCCGCCAAGGGGACUGAAUAUAUAAAUGGACAAUGGCCAGAUCACAUAUGAGAGCAGAACUCCAGUCUUCAACCUCUGCAGCUAUCACUCUUCUAAGCCAAACUAUAACCUCUGGCCUAGAAUGGUCAGCAGAACAGAAUGGUAUGCUCCCCACCCAAAUCACAUAAAGGCACCACUCCCACUCAGCCACCUCAUGCCAGCAUGAGGCUCCCCCCAUGCCAACAGCCUCCAGUCAGAGCAUACCUGAAGCCUUCCUUCUUCUUCACUAGAAAGAUUUGCCAGUCCUCUGCCUGCCUUUGAGUAUCUACCAGAAGGAAGAUACUGUGGCUGAUUUCCUUGCUCUAACAAAUGGAAUAAAUAGCCUCUGUUUGUUCUCAUUUGGGUUGUCUUUAUUUUCAUAACAUAUACUCCCUUGAAAUCAGGAUAGUGUCUAGCAUAUAACAAGCACUUAGGAAAGAUUAUCUGAAUGAACAAAUGAAUAAAUAAAUGACUACACAUUAAUCCAUUUCUGGAUUAGAAUUCUGUCUUCCUGAGAAUCUGGCUUUUUGCCUCACCUCCUUAAGUAUGUGACCUGUGGCCUUGGAAAAGCUACUCCACGUGUCUGGGUACCGUUUUUCUCAACCUGUAAACCAGCAAGUUUGGACCAAAUAAUACCUAUGUUUCAAAAAGUCUCAGAUCCUCACGUUUCAAGUAGCUUUCAUAAAACUUCUCUACCACCAUGAGCACAGGAUGCCAGGAU
Long non-coding RNA from Callithrix jacchus (white-tufted-ear marmoset), 1621 nucleotides. NCBI's taxonomy places the organism in Eukaryota, Metazoa, Chordata, Mammalia, Primates, Cebidae. The record is from Ensembl.